UUGACGGGGGCCCGCACAAGCGGUGGAGCAUGUGGUUUAAUUCGACGCAACGCGAAGAACCUUACCAGGGCUUGACAUCCCCUGACCGCGUAUGAAAGUACGUUUUCACCCUCGGGUGACAGGGAGACAGGUGGUGCAUGGUUGUCGUCAGCUCGUGUCGUGAGAUGUUGGGUUAAGUCCCGCAACGAGCGCAACCCCUACGUUUAGUUGCUAACGCGUGAAGGCGAGCACUCUAGACGAACUGCCGUUGACAAACGGAGGAAGUGGGAUGACGUCAAAUCAUCAUGCCCCUUAUGUUCUGGGCUACACACGUGCUACAAUGGCCGGUACAGACGGACGCAAAGCCGCGAGGUGGAGCAAAUCCUAAAAAGCCGGUCUCAGUUCGGAUUGCAGGCUGCAAUUCGCCUGCAUGAAGUCGGAAUCGCUAGUAAUCGCAGGUCAGCAUACUGCGGUGAAUACGUUCCCGGGCCUU
Molecule: ribosomal RNA, 472 nt
Filed under: uncultured Pelotomaculum sp.
Lineage: Bacteria; Bacillati; Bacillota; Clostridia; Eubacteriales; Desulfotomaculaceae
Description: bacterial SSU rRNA
Rfam family: Bacterial small subunit ribosomal RNA
Source: RNAcentral